This 78-nucleotide small RNA is filed under the name Flavobacterium aquicola. RNAcentral describes it as "Flavo-1 RNA". It matches the Rfam family "Flavo-1 RNA". Lineage: Bacteria; Pseudomonadati; Bacteroidota; Flavobacteriia; Flavobacteriales; Flavobacteriaceae. The record is from RNAcentral.
CCUUAGCCCCGAUAGCAGCGGAAAUCCUUGUGGGCCGGGUUUCGGCACACAAGAUUGAAGCGGAUAGCGGGAUUAGCU